This 563-nucleotide long non-coding RNA is filed under the name Monodelphis domestica (gray short-tailed opossum). RNAcentral's name for it is "lncRNA (ENSMODG00000047225.1)". The record is from RNAcentral. Lineage: Eukaryota; Metazoa; Chordata; Mammalia; Didelphimorphia; Didelphidae.
UGGGGGCUUUCCGUCUUGAGAAGCCCAAGACAGAAGAUGGGAAAAACUUUCUCCUGAGGGUCACCCACUUUUCCUGCUGGUGACUGGAAAUCUUUCUCCCCAACAUUUCCCAAUUGAAGGGACUUUCUGAAGAGAAACAUAAGCAGACUUUACCUCAGCUCCUGUUGUCCAGGGGACCAUCUGCCAACCCCUUCUAGAAAUCAGGAUUCGGGGUAUCCAUGCAGCACUUUAGUCACAUGACUCACUGGCAUCCUGACAACACAGUUCUAGUUGCAAAUGAUAUUAAGAAAGCAUUUCUGGUGGCUUCCAAACAGCAGAGGCUGCAAGCAUAUGGAACAGGGAGGAGCAGCAAGAAUCCAUAAUGUCAGACUGUCCAAUACCAGGGCAUAUAGAUCAUCUGGUCCAGAAGAUCUGAAAUCAUCAAGGUCAAGCAGGUACUUUCUUACUAUCUUCUUACUUCUCUUGUGUAUAAAUUUCCUGUGACUCAUUUUUAUUCUGCCCUUUUUAGUUUCAUUUUUCUUGGUAGAGAAACACAUUAACAAUAAAAACUGAGCAGCUCUGCA